GUGCUCAAUUCGGCAGCACAUAUGCUAAAAUUAGAACAAUACAGAGAAGAUCACAUGGCCUCUGCACAAGGAUGACAUGCAAAUUUGUAAAGCGUUUCAUAGUUUA
Molecule: small nuclear RNA, 106 nt
Organism: Zalophus californianus (California sea lion)
Lineage: Eukaryota; Metazoa; Chordata; Mammalia; Carnivora; Otariidae
Source: Ensembl